UAGGGAAUCUUCCGCAAUGGACGCAAGUCUGACGGAGCAACGCCGCGUGAGUGAAGAAGGAUUUCGGUUCGUAAAACUCUGUUGUUAGAGAAGAACAGCGCAUAGAGUAACUGUUAUGCGUGUGACGGUAUCUAACCAGAAAGCCACGGCUAACUACGUGCCAGCAGCCGCGGUAAUACGUAGGUGGCAAGCGUUGUCCGGAUUUAUUGGGCGUAAAGCGAGCGCAGGCGGUCAAUUAAGUCUGAUGUGAAAGCCCCCGGCUCAACCGGGGAGGGUCAUUGGAAACUGGUUGACUUGAGUGCAGAAGAGGAGAGUGGAAUUCCAUGUGUAGCUGUGAAAUGCGUAGAUAUAUGGAGGAACACCAGUGGCGAAGGCGACUCUCUGGUCUGUAACUGACGCUGAGGCUAGAAAGCGUGGGUAGCAAACAGG
Molecule: ribosomal RNA, 429 nt
Filed under: Bacteroidota bacterium
Lineage: Bacteria; Pseudomonadati; Bacteroidota
Description: Bacteroidetes bacterium partial 16S ribosomal RNA
Rfam family: Bacterial small subunit ribosomal RNA
Source: RNAcentral